ACAGAAUAUUUCUAUGUAGACUGUGAGGCUUACCUGAUGAGGAAUAUUAGUAUAGUAAGAAAGAGUGGAGUUCCAUCAUAAAGUUGGAUCUAGUUAUCUUUGCCAUAAUUGUUAGCAACUUUGAAAGCGCCAUAAGAAGUACUCCUCCAAGCAAUUUCUUUAGGCAGUUCACCUGUAAGCAUCAGACACCAGUCAGAAUAAUUUAAAUCCAGAUAUCUGUCCUUGCCAUGCAUAAUCAAACUUUCAUUAGUGCGAAAUUAACAAAAUUGUAAGUGUUAGCAACUUAGCAUUUCAGAAUAAUGUUUUAAACAAAAAGCAAGAUGGUGCUGGUGCAAACAAUAUUACACCAAGACAUACUUCUGCAUCAAUUUAUCUUGGGACAGCGGAUUCGUUGAAGUAUAAAUCAGUCUGUUAAAAUUUGGGCAAUCAGAUAACUGUAUCAGCAAAAAAAGUAAAUCAGACAACUGUAUCAGCGAAAAAAGCAAGCAAGCUGGGCUUAUAGCCUAGCGGAUACCUCUGUAAUCUUAGUAAUAGAAGGUUGGUGGUAAUAGCCUCGGUUAAAAAGAGUGUGUGCCAGAACAAUAACUCUUUGAAAAUAACUAACUUUUCUUUAUUUUUUUAUAAAGGAUCUUUAAGUCUAACUAUCAGACCUAGUUGAAGAGCCUAGAAACGUAUAACCUAUAGCUUGUGGGAAUUCAGUUGCUGCAACUGAAAGUAAAAAGAGGAUUUUGCUUAGAUCUAUGACAACUCAAGUGAACAACGUCAAGCCAACAGAAAGAUGUGUACAGUAA
This 791-nucleotide long non-coding RNA is filed under the name Daucus carota (carrot). RNAcentral describes it as "long non-coding RNA (DCAR_LNC004344)". The record is from RNAcentral. Lineage: Eukaryota; Viridiplantae; Streptophyta; Magnoliopsida; Apiales; Apiaceae.